UUGGAGGGCAAGUCUGGUGCCAGCAGCCGCGGUAAUUCCAGCUCCAAUAGCGUAUAUUAAAGUUGUUGCAGUUAAAAAGCUCGUAGUUGAAUUUCAGGGUUUGUCUAUCGGUCGGGCUUCACUGUCCGCACUGAUUUGAUGGAUCCUUACCUUCUGAAUAACCAUCAUGCCAUUAAUUUGGUGCGUUGGGGAAGCAGAGCUAUUACCUUGAAAAAAUUAGAGUGCUUAAAGCAGGCCAGUGCUUGAAUAGAUUAGCAUGGAAUAAUAAAAUAGGACGGCAUGGUUCUAUUCUGUUGGUUUCUAGGAUCACCGUAAUGAUUAAUAGGGAUAGUUGGGGGCAUUAGUAUUCAAUUGUCAGAGGUGAAAUUCUUGGAUUUAUUGAAGACUAACUACUGCGAAAGCAUUUGCCAAGGAUGUUUUCAUUAAUCAAGAACGAAAGUUAGGGGAUCGAAGACGAUCAGAUACCGUCGUAGUCUUAACCAUAAACUAUGCCGAUUUGGGAACGGGGGGAGAUUUUAUUUUGU
This 524-nucleotide ribosomal RNA is filed under the name uncultured Acaulospora. RNAcentral describes it as "bacterial SSU rRNA". It matches the Rfam family "Eukaryotic small subunit ribosomal RNA", at positions 548 to 1074 of the family's 1831-position model. Lineage: Eukaryota; Fungi; Glomeromycota; Glomeromycetes; Diversisporales; Acaulosporaceae. The record is from RNAcentral.